Molecule: unclassified non-coding RNA, 167 nt
Filed under: uncultured Trichoderma
Lineage: Eukaryota; Fungi; Ascomycota; Sordariomycetes; Hypocreales; Hypocreaceae
Description: sequence contains ITS2
Source: RNAcentral
CAACCCUCGAACCCCCCGGGGGGUCGGCGUUGGGGAUCGGCCGUCUGACGGCCGGCCCCGAAAUGCAGUGGCGGUCUCGCCGCAGCCUCUCCUGCGCAGUAGUUUGCACACUCGCACCGGGAGCGCGGCGCGCCCACGUCCGUAAAACACCCCAGACUUCUGAAAGG